Molecule: long non-coding RNA, 321 nt
Organism: Chenopodium quinoa (quinoa)
Lineage: Eukaryota; Viridiplantae; Streptophyta; Magnoliopsida; Caryophyllales; Amaranthaceae
Exons: 2
Source: RefSeq, a predicted model, not a curated record
AUCCCCAAAGCCCCAAAAUUUUCCCCACAAAAGUCAAAUGGUAAAGGUAAUUUAUUUUCUUUUCUAUUUUUCUUUCUUUCUUUUUCUUUCUUUUUCUAACUCUUUCCCUUCUCCUUUACGUGAAAGCCACCAACACCACGCCACCUUGCAGCCACCCGACGCCGACCACGUCCGGCUGCCCAGCCACCGUCGGCGACCCGCAGCCAGCCACCGCGGUGGAGACUUUAAGUUGAGUAAUUUCUAGCAUUGUGGCUAGUUGGAAAGAUGAUUUAAUUAAGGUACGUAUAAGAAUACGAGAAAACUUGAUUUUAGGAGCAUGUU